GCAAGUCGAGCGAGCUUGCCUAGAUGAUUUUAGUGCUUGCACUAAAUGAAACUAGAUACAAGCGAGCGGCGGACGGGUGAGUAACACGUGGGUAACCUGCCCAAGAGACUGGGAUAACACCUGGAAACAGAUGCUAAUACCGGAUAACAACACUAGACGCAUGUCUAGAGUUUGAAAGAUGGUUCUGCUAUCACUCUUGGAUGGACCUGCGGUGCAUUAGCUAGUUGGUAAGGUAACGGCUUACCAAGGCAAUGAUGCAUAGCCGAGUUGAGAGACUGAUCGGCCACAUUGGGACUGAGACACGGCCCAAACUCCUACGGGAGGCAGCAGUAGGGAAUCUUCCACAAUGGACGAAAGUCUGAUGGAGCAACGCCGCGUGAGUGAAGAAGGGUUUCGGCUCGUAAAGCUCUGUUGGUAGUGAAGAAAGAUAGAGGUAGUAACUGGCCUUUAUUUGACGGUAAUUACUUAGAAAGUCACGGCUAACUACGUGCC
This 492-nucleotide ribosomal RNA is filed under the name uncultured bacterium. Its description in RNAcentral is "bacterial SSU rRNA". It matches the Rfam family "Bacterial small subunit ribosomal RNA", at positions 57 to 509 of the family's 1533-position model. The record is from RNAcentral.